Molecule: microRNA precursor, 124 nt
Filed under: Physcomitrium patens
Lineage: Eukaryota; Viridiplantae; Streptophyta; Bryopsida; Funariales; Funariaceae
Description: Physcomitrella patens miR2077 stem-loop (ppt-MIR2077)
Source: miRBase by way of RNAcentral
UUCGACGCUGCUAUCUUGAAUGGAAAUAUGACGUGUUUAUGAGCUUAGUGGCUGGUAGUUUCCAAACAACCAGCCACUAAGCUCAUAAACACGCCAUAUUUCCAUUCAGGUUGAUCUCAACUGA